ACAAGGUCGUGUUGAUAUUUAGACAUUACGUUAUCGGAAGUAGAAUGACGAAAUUAUUGCAAAUUCGAACACCGUUAGGGGUUUUAAAAUUUCAUAUAAGAUAUUGAGAUGAAUCAUUAGUGAAUUGAUGAAUGAUGUGUUACUACAUUUCGACGUGAUUUUAAAACAUUGAAGAGUAUGAAAUGACACCAAGGGCAAGGGUUAACGAAUAUCCUCCCGGAAGUUAAAGGUUGAAAACAGAAAUGGCAGGCAACACCAGCUACCCUGAUAGUAGAAAUAUUCCUUUGACUUUGACGGCAAAGUAUGCCUCAUCGUGGGGAACAUGGGAAGGAAUACGCGAACUUGUCCAGAACUGGCAUGAUGGGAUAUAUGGUUCCAUUAGCCAGAGAGGAAUUUCCUUGAUUUCUGAAUAUGAGAUUGUUUUUUGUGAGGAAGGAAGCAGUAACAGAUUCAAAGCCUGCCUCGUGAUAUCUGACACAAAAGAAGAAAUACUUCUGGGUCGAUUAAUAUACAACCAAUUAGAAAGCAAGCUGACCCUCAUCAACAGCUUUACCCAACUUCAUAAGAAAAUCCUGUUGCUAGGAUACAGCGGCAAAUCAUCUAGUAAAGAAAUCAUUGGGCAAUUUGGAGAAGGGUUAAAGGUCGGAGCGCUAGCAUUGGUCAGGAAUGGGCAUCUUGUUACCAUGGAAACAUGCAAGGAUCAAUGGAAGUUUGAUUUGAAAUAUAAUGAAGAAUUCGGAGAAAAAGUUUUGACAGUUGUUGUAACAGAGAGAAUUACAAGUGAAGGACUAGAUAGAAUAGGUGAACAAAAAAAUGGAAAUGUACAACCAUCUGAUACAUGUACUACUAUCACUGGAGUUGAUGACUGGAAAACUUAUCUUGCCAGAUUCCUAUUUCUUCAACCGCCAGUAGAAAGUGUGAAAACUCAACUUGGUAGUUUGCUGUUGGAUGAGAGUCUAGCGGGACAGAUGUAUGUCAAAGGAUUGUGGGUAUCUGACCUCAGUCAGGAAGACCUGGCAGCCGGCGUUGAUUUCACUUCCCUCCAACUGGAUCGUGAUAGAAACGCUGUCCCAAAACCGAGUGAAAUCGACCACAUGAUGAGUGGAAUUUGGAUCAAAGCUAUAGAGAGACGACCAGACCUUGUCAAUAGAUACUUUCAUUUGCUGAAAUCUGAACGAUACAGAGAUGUCCGCCAUGCUGCUGAGUACAGUACAGAAGAUUUUGCUAAAUCGAUUGCGUCUGUUUUUCUGAAUGAGUUUGGUGACCAUGCCUUCCCCUUGUUAAAUAGUAGCUCAGCUGAAGACAUGGCCUCUGUCAGUGAAGAACUCCGCCUGAUGACCAUCCUUUGUAACCAGACUAUGUAUGAGAUCCUGAUGAAGUCUGGGUCCUACAGGUCACUGGAGAGUGCUCUGGAGGCAAACAGAGCAAAGCAGAGGAAACCUGUUGCAUUCUUCUCCCUGACCCAAAUUGAAGUCGCUGUGCUGGAAUCAGCUGUAGAGCUAGCGAGACUGGUCGACACUUCGGUGGAUAUUUCCCUGUUGGAUAUAAUAGAAACAAGUCUUACAGAGAGUCGGGCCAUUUCUACUGUACACUGCUACCUUAAAGCGGGAGUUCCGAUUCUGACUAUGAAAAAUACAUGCUCAAGUGAUGGCUCCAGAAUUUCCGUCCCAAGAUGGUACUUGGAUAAAUCUUGUGUUCACAAGAGGGGAUCUCUAUGUGGCAGAACCAACGAAACAAUGGAAAAGGAAGAAUGUAAAUGCUGUGAGGUUGUUCUGUGUGCAGCCAUUCUGGGUCUGAGAAAGCAGGACAUGUACUCUCCUUUCAUGUUUCUUGUUCAGAAAUUGAUUACCAAGAGUUCAAACGGAAAACCACUGAGCAGACGGCAAAAAAUCAAAGAUGGUGUCUCGGACAGGAGCACUUUGAACAAUGAAGUAUUUAUUGCCAGGGAGACGAAAUUAUUGGAGAAGAUACAACAACUGGAGGAGGCUUUGUCAAAAGAAAAACAGAAUGGAAUUGAUAAAUUAGUGAAAGUCAGGAAAAAACUGAAAGAGGCUGAGCAACAUCUGACUCGGAGAGAAAUUUCUGUUAUUGAUGAAGAGGCGCGAAUACAAGAAAGUUAUAAAACAGAAAUUGAACAAUGGAAGAAAAAGUCGCAGGCAAAAUUAGGAGAGCUUGAACGUUCACUGGUGAGGAAAGAUGACAUCAUUGUGAACCUUCAGACAACUGUGGACUUCAAACAAUCACAGCUGACUACAGCACAGAAACAGUUAGAAGCCAGUGAUGCAGCAUCAGAAAGGAAGGUGGGGUGUCUGGUGGAUGAGCUGAUGCACUAUAUAUCACAGAAUCGUAACAGGACAAAAAGUCUUUCAAAAUUAUGUGCGGAGCAGUGCCAAAAUAUUCAAGAGGAUGAGUCAAAGGAGAAAUGGCAGCUACUACAGGAACUAUGUGACACCAUUUUACAGGAGCUACAGCUUGCAGAGUCCAUGUAGCAUUCCACGGUGGUAAACAAGGAAGGGAUGAUUUAGGCGAUAAGUUCGCUAGACAUGCAGGAUACAACGAUGUUGGAGAGGAAAAUGACGUCAUCAUUAUCUACCCACAAGUCAAAGCGGAUAUGAUCCAAACGGCUGUUUUGAUUGGUGGGGCUAUACAGAUGCUAAUUUUGCAAACAAAAAUGGCGUCAAAAUGAUGGCAGUCAAGAACAUGAUUGAUCGCGUGACUGCACCAUGAUAGCUUUGCCAAUGA
This 2742-nucleotide unclassified non-coding RNA is filed under the name Mizuhopecten yessoensis (Yesso scallop). Its description in RNAcentral is "uncharacterized LOC110449313, transcript variant X3". Lineage: Eukaryota; Metazoa; Mollusca; Bivalvia; Pectinida; Pectinidae. The record is from RNAcentral.